UUGAACGCUGGCGGCAUGCCUUACACAUGCAAGUCGAACGGCAGCACGGGAGCAAUCCUGGUGGCGAGUGGCGAACGGGUGAGUAAUAUAUCGGAACGUGCCCAGUCGUGGGGGAUAACGCAGCGAAAGCUGUGCUAAUACCGCAUACGACCUGAGGGUGGAAGCGGGGGAUCGCAAGACCUCGCGCGACAGGAGCGGCCGAUAUCGGAUUAGCUAGUUGGUGAGGUAAAGGCUCACCAAGGCGACGAUCCGUAGCUGGUAUGAGAGGACGACCAGCCACACUGGAACUGAGACACGGUCCAGACUCCUACGGGAGGCAGCAGUGGGGAAUUUUGGACAAUGGGGGCAACCCUGAUCCAGCCAUUCCGCGUGAGUGAAGAAGGCCUUCGGGUUGUAAAGCUCUUUCAGGAGGGAAGAAACGGUUACGGAUAAUACCUGUGACUAAUGACGGUACCUUCAGAAGAAGCACCGGCUAACUACGU
RNAcentral lists this ribosomal RNA (482 nucleotides) under uncultured bacterium. RNAcentral describes it as "bacterial SSU rRNA". It matches the Rfam family "Bacterial small subunit ribosomal RNA", at positions 29 to 506 of the family's 1533-position model. The record is from RNAcentral.